UAGGGAAUCUUCGGCAAUGGACGAAAGUCUGACCGAGCAACGCCGCGCGAGUGAAGAAGGUUUUCGGAUCGUAAAACUCUGUUGUUAGAGAAGAACAAGGACGUUAGUAACUGAACGUCCCCUGACGGUAUCUAACCAGAAAGCCACGGCUAACUACGUGCCAGCAGCCGCGGUAAUACGUAGGUGGCAAGCGUUGUCCGGAUUUAUUGGGCGUAAAGCGAGCGCAGGCGGUUUCUUAAGUCUGAUGUGAAAGCCCCCGGCUCAACCGGGGAGGGUCAUUGGAAACUGGGAGACGUGAGUGCAGAAGAGGGGAGUGGAAUUCCAUGUGGAGCGGUGAAAUGCGUAGAUAUAUGGAGGAACACCAGUGGCGAAGGCGGCUCUCUGGUCUGUAACUGACGCUGAGGCUCGAGAGCGUGGGGAGCAAACAGG
RNAcentral lists this ribosomal RNA (429 nucleotides) under Gemmatimonadota bacterium. Its description in RNAcentral is "Gemmatimonadetes bacterium partial 16S ribosomal RNA". It matches the Rfam family "Bacterial small subunit ribosomal RNA", at positions 355 to 776 of the family's 1533-position model. The record is from RNAcentral. Lineage: Bacteria; Pseudomonadati; Gemmatimonadota.